AGUCCAUUAGCUGUGGUGGUUACAAUACUGCAUUACCUGAAGUGAUUGCAACUUUUCAAGAAACAAUCUGAUAACUCCAAAUGGCUGGGGAAUGUGGAAUGCUACAUCUUGGAAGGAAAAGUGAAGUUGGUAAAAAGAAGAUGAACAGAUGAAGAUUAAUUUACUGUUGUUAAAUGCAAUAAAUAUAUGUAGAAAAUAAAUACGUGGCUAGUUA
Dipodomys ordii (Ord's kangaroo rat) is the source of this 214-nucleotide long non-coding RNA. RefSeq lists it as uncharacterized. The record is from RefSeq and is a predicted model, not a curated record. NCBI's taxonomy places the organism in Eukaryota, Metazoa, Chordata, Mammalia, Rodentia, Heteromyidae. The transcript is spliced from 2 exons.